AUUGAACGCUGGCGGCAUGCCUAACACAUGCAAGUCGAACGGGGGCAGCAAUGCCCUAGUGGUGGACGGGUGAGGAAUACGUAGGAACCGGCCCACGAGUGGGGGACAACCUGGGGAAACCCAGGCUAAUACCGCAUACGCUCGCGAGAGGAAAGCGGGGGACCUUCGGGCCUCGCGCUGGUGGACGGGCCUACGUCCGAUUAGCUUGUUGGUGGGGUAAAAGCCUACCAAGGCGACGAUCGGUAGCUGGUCUGAGAGGAUGAUCAGCCACACUGGGACUGAGACACGGCCCAGACUCCUACGGGAGGCAGCAGUGGGGAAUAUUGGACAAUGGGCGCAAGCCUGAUCCAGCAAUGCCGCGUGGGUGAAGAAGGCCUGCGGGUUGUAAAGCCCUUUAAGCGGGGAGGAAAGCCGGGGGGUGAAUAGCGCCUCGGGGUGACGUUACCCGCAGAAGAAGCACCGGCUAACUACGUGCCAGCAGCCGCGGUAAU
RNAcentral lists this ribosomal RNA (491 nucleotides) under uncultured bacterium. RNAcentral describes it as "bacterial SSU rRNA". It matches the Rfam family "Bacterial small subunit ribosomal RNA", at positions 29 to 524 of the family's 1533-position model. The record is from RNAcentral.